AGGCAUGAGCCGUGGUGUCUGGCCCUAAUGUGAGUGAUCUUUAACACUGAGCACUUGAAAAAGAAAACCCCGAAGAAACCUAAUUCUUUGAUGUCUGGACGACAAGGAAGAAGAUAGAAAUGGCAACAGAUAAUAAACAGCGUAAAUGUUUAUCAGAAAGGGGCUGGUGGUCGGGACAAGUAGAAGGAUCGCUUGAGUCCAGGAGUGCAUCUCUACAAAAAAGUUAAAGGAUUUUUUAACAUUGGCCAGGCGUGGUGGCACACAUCUGUGAUCCCAGCUACUUGGGAGGCUGAGGCAGGAGGAUUGCUUGAAGCCCAGGAGGUUGAGGCUGCAGUGAGCUGUGAUCGAGCCACUGCACUCCAGCCUGGGUGACACAGCAAAAUCCGGUCUACAAAAAAAAAAUAAUAAUAUUUUACAUAACUAACCACUUCUAAAGAUUAAAAAAAACCCCUAUGAUUAAAAACCUCAGGUCCCUCAGGCAAUCAUACCAGAUAUCGAAACAAAGCAAUAACAUAAGGACUGCAGUAUUUAUUUUUAUAUUAUUUAUUUAUUCUUUGUUAGUUUGUUUUUGGGGUGUGGGUUUUGUUUUUUGAUUUUUUUAUUUUGUUCUACUCAGUUUUAUUCUUAUUGCUCAGGCUUGAGUGCAACGGCCUCUUCUCAGCUGACGCAACCUCCGCCUCUUGGGUUCGGGUGAUGAUGGUUCCACCUCAGCAGCCCUCCGCCUCUUGGGUUUGGGUGAUGAUGGUUCCACCUCAGCGGCCCUCCGCCUCUUGGGUUCGGGAGGUGGUUCCAUCUCAGCCACCCUCCACCUCUUGGGUUUGGGUGGUUUUUCUGCCUCAGCCUCCUGAGUAGCUAAGGGAGGUGUCUUGAGAUUAUCAUCUGCUGAGGGUGGAAGGGGAGUGAGCAGCCACUCGGGAGGUGUCUUGAGAUUAUCAUCCGCUGAGGGUGGAAGGGGAGUGAGCAGACACUCGGCAGGUGUCUUGAGGCUCAGGGAGUUAUGAGUUAUAGAAUGUUGAUCAGUUAUAGAAUGUUGUUGAGUUGGAGGAGGUGGCUGGUGGCCCAUCCUGUUUUUUAAAGUUUCAGCUGUGAGGUAGGGCCGGUAGGGCAAUCCUGAAGAGUGACGAUGCUCCGCUGCUGCCAUUCUGACCUGUAGGGCCAAAGGAGGGAAUGUUUUCACACAUAUUCAUUUGAUGGACAAAAUUACCGCCACCAACACAGUCUGCACCUUCUGUUGCUGGUGAUAGAUUUUUGCACCUUUCCAUCCUCCAGGUUUCAAAAUAGCAGUAUCAGUGUCAUAAUAUCACCCUUCCACUGAGUACUGCCGACAGCUGGGGGGUAAAGAAAAGUCAUUGGGACACACUGUUGUCUCCACAUGCCACUGUGUCUGUCUGCAAAUGUAGGCAGGCUGGGGUCCUGCCCCAGGGAAGACAGAGUCAUAACAGAGUAAUAAAGAAGCAUGUUUGAGACACAGGAGUGUCUAUGUCUAUCCUCAUUCCUCCCUCACAGCCAUCACCAGAGCAUGUUUCUUGCACCAGGUCAACAGACAGUAAGAGAGGUAUGAAAAGCCCAUUGUCCACACAUGUUGCAGGUUCUUAUUGGANAAUGUUUCCAGGUCCU
RNAcentral lists this long non-coding RNA (1617 nucleotides) under Pan paniscus (pygmy chimpanzee). RNAcentral describes it as "lncRNA (ENSPPAG00000045054.1)". The record is from RNAcentral. Lineage: Eukaryota; Metazoa; Chordata; Mammalia; Primates; Hominidae.